GGAGGGAUGGCCGAGUGGACGAAGGCGCAUGUCUUGAAAACAUGUUUGGGACCUCCCAACAAGGGUUCGAAUCCCUUUCCCUCCG
Molecule: transfer RNA, 85 nt
Filed under: Anaerolineaceae bacterium
Lineage: Bacteria; Bacillati; Chloroflexota; Anaerolineae; Anaerolineales; Anaerolineaceae
Description: tRNA-Ser
Rfam family: tRNA
About the family: Transfer RNA (tRNA) molecules are approximately 80 nucleotides in length. Their secondary structure includes four short double-helical elements and three loops (D, anti-codon, and T loops).
Source: RNAcentral